AAUUGGAGGGCAAGUCUGGUGCCAGCAGCCGCGGUAAUUCCAGCUCCAAUAGCGUAUAUUAAAGUUGUUGCAGUUAAAAAGCUCGUAGUUGAAUUUCGGGAUCAAUAUUUCGGUCAUGCCGUUGGUAUGCACUGUUACCAUUGAUUUCUCACCUUCUAAAGAACCGUAAUGCCAUUAAUUUGGUGUUACGGGGAAUUAGGACUGUUACCUUGAAAAAAUUAGAGUGUUUAAAGCAGGCUCACGCUUGAAUACAUUAGCAUGGAAUAAUGAAAUAGGACAUCCGAUUCUAUUUUGUUGGUUUCUAGGAUCGAUGUAAUGAUUAAUAGGGAUAGUUGGGGGCAUUAGUAUUCAAUUGUCAGAGGUGAAAUUCUUGGAUUUAUUGAAGACUAACUACUGCGAAAGCAUUUGCCAAGGAUGUUUUCAUUAAUCAAGAACGAAAGUUAGGGGAUCGAAGACGAUCAGAUACCGUCGUAGUCUUAACCAUAAACUAUGCCGACUAGGGAUCGGAUGAUGUUAAUUUUUUAAUGACUCAUUCGGCGCCUUACGGGAAACCAAAGUGU
RNAcentral lists this ribosomal RNA (560 nucleotides) under uncultured Glomus. RNAcentral's name for it is "SSU rRNA". It matches the Rfam family "Eukaryotic small subunit ribosomal RNA", at positions 546 to 1106 of the family's 1831-position model. Lineage: Eukaryota; Fungi; Glomeromycota; Glomeromycetes; Glomerales; Glomeraceae. The record is from RNAcentral.